UCUCCCGCUCCCUCUCCCAUUCCAUUUGCAUCAAGAUUCAUUUUCAAUUAUCUUUAUAUACAGAAGAUCAAAAGAUCAAUUUAGUAUAAAUUAAGUAAAGCUUUCAACAGUUUGCACCCACACAGAAACACAAAUUGUAAAGUACUGUUUGAGUCCUAGUUAUAGCAUUAAUUUACAUUGUACAUCACAUUAAGGACAGAGAUACUACACGGGAAGUGAUUGUACAGUGACUCCUGUUGUUGAUUUAACAAUUGACACUCUUGUUUAUGGCGUCGGUAAUCACCCAAGGCUUUGGUCAUGGGUUGCCAAGGCUAUGGGAGCCUCUUGAGUUCGCCAACUCCUAUCUUAUUUAGACAAGGUCAUAGUCAUAGUCAAAGUGGAAGUUCUCUCCUCCCUUCAGAGAAAGGUACCUCCUUCUUUGAUGGCCUGCUUUUUCCCCUGGGAUCUCACUCACAGAGAUCUUCCAUUUAGGUUUAGGUGUUUUUUUUUUUUUGCCAGAGUGUCUUGGCUGGCUUUCCAUGCCUAUAAUAAUCUCAUGGGCUUUUCAGCUGGACCCGAAUGCCUUAAGGGCUGAUUCUGAGGCCAGAGUGCUCUUUAGGAUAUCUGCCAUUCUAUGAAUCUGCCGUGUAUCCCGCUUCCCAUGUUGGAACAUUCUCUCCUUUUUAAUUCUUUCAGUUAGUAUUUGCAGACCCUUGUCUUGUUUGUGUGAUCCCUUUGACUAUUAGAGCUAUCAGUGUGAUCAAUUGUGAACUGAAACUGAUCACUUGGACUAGUGAGAUGGCAUCGGUACAUGCCAGCUUGAUGGGAUUGAAUUGGAAUCCCCUGGCACAUUUCUAACUACGAUUUGGGGCAAGUCCGAUUGAGCAUGUCCCAAACUGUACAUCUCCUCCCUCUCUUAUUCCCACUCUUAUAUUUAACAGAGAUCAUUUUUCAGUUAAAUUUAAACACCUAAGAAUAAUUGUGUGUUAAUUACAGAGUUCAACCAAUAGUAUUAAGUAGAACAAAAUAAAUACUAAAAGGGAUAAAGUAUUAAGUUGUUCAUCAACAGUCAGGGCAAGGGCUGAUCAAGUCACCGUUUCUCAUAGUGUCCAUUUCACUUCAACAGGUUUUCUUUUUGGUGCUCGGUUAGUUGUCACCGAUCGGGGACAACAUGAUAUUUGCCACUUUGGGACUGGCUUAUUUCACUCAGCAUGAUGUUUUCCAGAUUCCUCCAUUUUGUUGCAAAUGACCGGAUUUCAUUGUCUUUUACUGCUGUAUACCUCACCCCAGUUUGAAUGGCUCACAUACAGAAAUCUACCAACAACAGAUGCUGGGACUGUGAGAUUAUGAAGAACUUCCCAGAGACACUAGGAGCCAUGUCAUGAUGGGCAUGGAGAUGAGGCAACACAUGAAGAACCUGUCAUGAACCUGCCAGAGAGAAACAAAUGAUGUCAACAACUGCAUGAUCUUGGAAGUGGAUCCUUCUUAAAAUGAGCUUUUUGAUGAGAACCCAAUCUUUACCCAUGCCCUUCAUUGCAGCCCUGUGAGACCCUGAACAAAAUACCAAGUUAAGCUGUGCACAGAUUUCUGACCUAAAAACUAAGGAAAUAAAUGCAUGUUGUUGAAGCCACUAAGGUAAUAACUUAUUAAGCAGCAUAAAAACAAAUACAUAUAAGAUUACAUAAGACUCAGCCCCUUUAUACCUAUAUAUCAUAUUCAAGAAUAGAAGAAGAGGAAGAAGAAAUCUGUGAUAGCAUUUAGACACACAGACUGAAUUUUAAAAAGAAAAUUAAAAUUGAAAGAGACUGGAUUGGACUGAGUUUACUCAACUGCAGAAAAGUUUUUCUGACAUCCUGGAGUAUAGGGGACAGUCAGGCUCAUGGGGGAGUUUUGAUAAACUAUAGAGAAAUAAGGUAUUUUUUUGUACAUAUGAGUCUAGUGGGAAUAGAUUAGUGAUAUAUGGACACAGACUUCAGCCAUAGUACCGUGGUUGUCUUGAAAUUUAUGUUUAGAGUUACUGGGGUUUGCAAUCAUUAUUGGAUCCAGAGUGUUCGUAUCUAUAGCACUUCUUUACUGUAUCCUGAUGUUAAAUGGACCAAUUUUUGAACAUUAAAGAGGACUUAAUAGAUUAAAGAGUCCAUUAAAGAUCCUGUUUCUUUGACUACAGUUUAAUAAAAUGAAUAAAGCCCAGUAUCUAUGGCUUUUGUGUAUGUCUUUGGUGGGGGGAGGGGUUAGACUGUUCAGUAUAAUGAGCUCUCAUUUGGAAAUUGUAUCUUCAUUUGUAAGAAAGGUUAAGAUAGGUAUGGAGCAUUAAAAUGGCCCAGUUGAUUAAUUAUACUUGGAUGGAGUUCAGCUUUGUUUGUGACAAUGCAUCCAGGAAGUAGUAACCAGUGGCAGGGUUCAGCAGUCCUUCAGUUGUCAUGUGUCUUAUGUUGACAGUGUGAAAUGAAUCUUUGCCCUUUGACAGGGAAGCAGGCAUACAUCAAGUGCAAAGUCCAGGAGACUAUUCAUUUGGGGUUCCCUGACUGUACUUGGAUCUCUCCAUAAAGAUAGGCUCUGAUGGAGUUCGUUAGAUUCUGGCAAAAUUAAGGUUGGCACAGUGUUUGGCUUUCCUACUCAAAUCUUCCAGAGGCAAUCAUUCCUGAAUGGCAGCUCCUCAUCAAUUUAUACCAGAAUGGCACCCUUGCUGGAUGCCAGAUUCUGUGAUUCCCUAACCCUUUGUUCCAUGUGGGCAGGGCCCCCUGAAUUCCAAUCUAUUUGGUGCCUGAAGAAAUACUUGUCUCUGGACUCUUGAAGUGCUCAUCCAGGAUGCCUUUGAGUUCAAGGCUAUUAAAAUGUCUAUGCACUAGGAUAGUCAGAAGGAAACAAAAGGACAUACUAGUAUCCUUGCAGAAAUGGAUAUAAAGAUGGAGUAGAGGGAAUUCAUCUUGGUGGGUGAGGUCUUGGCAGUGGUCGCUUAAGCAGCUGGAAACUCCAUGGAUUUGGCAAGCCACUGGGGCUGCCCAGGACCUUAAGUACAACAACGCCUAUAGAGCAAGGGAGAGGAGAAACCAAAUCACUGAUAGUGUCAUGAGUUUCUUCCCCCUUCCAGUUCAUUUUUAACAAAAUCAGUCAACUAAUCAUUUGAAUUUUCUCACAUAUGCACACAUCACUAAGAAAGAAGGUAUGGAGCACAAUAGUUAUGUUCUGAGUUAC
Molecule: non-coding RNA, 3174 nt
Organism: Oryctolagus cuniculus (rabbit)
Lineage: Eukaryota; Metazoa; Chordata; Mammalia; Lagomorpha; Leporidae
Source: RefSeq, a predicted model, not a curated record